GGAGGAGAGCUCAUGCGUGGGGCUACGAGCUGAGUGCAUUUAGCCACUCUACCCCAUGUCCUUUGGGAAGGACUGAGACUAGGGCCAAAAGUGGCCCUAACAGGGCCCUCCCUGAACCUUGGGGAGGUGAGUUCCCAGGGAACGGGUCUCCGUGUGAGGGUGGACUGGGCAGGAGAUGCCAUGGGACCCUGCCCUUGAAGAGGAGCCUGGCAGAUGCCUCCUGAGCAGAAGCUUGGAAAAGAAUAGAGAGUGGUGGGGACUGUGGCAGAUUGGAGAGAAUGCACACCUUGAAAGCGAUUGCUUUAUUUUGUCUCCACUGGGUGUGCUGGCCUGGCAUUGCUAAAUCUCUGAACUUUUAAAAUAUUAUUUGACUCU
Molecule: RNase P RNA, 375 nt
Filed under: Catagonus wagneri (Chacoan peccary)
Lineage: Eukaryota; Metazoa; Chordata; Mammalia; Artiodactyla; Tayassuidae
Description: Nuclear RNase P (ENSCWAG00000003095.1)
Rfam family: Nuclear RNase P (bases 1-315)
About the family: Ribonuclease P (RNase P) is a ubiquitous endoribonuclease, found in archaea, bacteria and eukarya as well as chloroplasts and mitochondria. Its best characterised activity is the generation of mature 5'-ends of tRNAs by cleaving the 5'-leader elements of precursor-tRNAs.
Source: RNAcentral